Molecule: ribosomal RNA, 484 nt
Filed under: uncultured bacterium
Lineage: Bacteria
Description: partial 16S ribosomal RNA
Rfam family: Bacterial small subunit ribosomal RNA
Source: RNAcentral
AGUGAACGCUGGCGGCGUGCUUAACACAUGCAAGUCGAACGAGAACGGAAUAUAGCUUGCUAUAUUUGUCAGCUAAGUGGCGCACGGGUGCGUAAUGUAUAGAUAACCUGCCCUUAAAAAAGGAAUAACAGUUGGAAACGACUGCUAAUGCCCUAUAUGCCUUUAAUACAUAAGUAGGCAAGGGAAACGCUUUAGUGCUUAAGGAUGGGUCUGUAUGGUAUCAGCUUGUUGGUGAGGUAUGGCUCGCCAAGGCUAUGACGCCUAACUGGUUUGAGAGGAUGAUCAGUCACACUGGAACUGAGACACGGUCCAGACUCCUACGGGAGGCAGCAGUGGGGAAUAUUGCACAAUGGACGAAAGUCUGAUGCAGCAACGCCGCGUGGAGGAUGACACAUUUCGGUGCGUAAACUCCUUUUAUAUAGGAAGAUAAUGACGGUACUAUAUGAAUAAGCACCGGCUAACUCCGUGCCAGCAGCCGCAGUAA